UCACGAGGCGCGAGUCGAAGAAGAAAACGGCUGCAUUGGUUGCAUCUUCGAAUCCAGGUGGGUUGCGCCACUCACUUGGGAACAAGAACAAGAAUCAAUGUUAGCUUUCUCCUGCUGCGCUGUUUCCCGGUUUUCAUACAGCAGGAAUCUCUCUACGAUUUGUGCCGGCUCGAGUUCCCCAAGUUGCCGGACGAACGGUGCCGUUCCGCCUAUGUCUCCACGCCAACGCGUGCCUACCCGUUCCCAGACUGGCUACUCUACGUCGACCAUGAAGAAACAUGGUGAAAAGAAGCACGGUGGAGUCUACCCUGAGAAGAGAGAGAGAAAGGAGCCACCGGCCACUCCACCGGUUCCUCCACCCACUCCUCAAGAUGCUCUCGUUGAGUCAUCAGACGUGGUUUCCAGCCCGCUGGCGGCAUUAUCUCCACCUCUGUCACCAGCAGCCGGCGCAUUAAAGCAAGGCAGGCGACAACCGGUUACAGGCCAGCGCAAGGAAUCCAGGCCAAUAUUACCCAGAAAGCCGUAACUUAACUGCCGAAGAUCAUGACCGUAACGCCCUAAGCAGACUCCCAUGAGUGAUGUGACAAUUUAGGCCUCACCGUCCGGCGAGUUUGACCAACAUAUACAUAUAAAUGAAAGUGUUGCUUUCCGCCAACGGUCGGCUACUACAACACGACCGGCGUCGAAAUCGAAGCACUGGAAGAGCUCGCCGCGCACCAUACCGCUUACGUAGUACGCGACAGCACUCCGUCGCCAGUGCAAGACAUUGCGAAGUCGACCCGCGCGCCCAUCUCCGACAGCCGCUGGACGGACUGCCUGGCCAGACUUAAGCCUAAACUUAUCGGCAGCGUAAACGUCACAACCACCGCUCGGCUCUACGUGGCGGCAGUCCUGCAGCUUUGGGCACAUCUGGGAGAAAGCAGGUUGCACUUUUUCCUCUCCUGGUGCACGGUGCAGGUGGCCGCUCUUUACGCCAACCAGGAACUCGUAGAGAACUACUACGCCAGGAGCUCUAGCAGAACUCGAGCCUAUCACGGAGCCUUUUGCCUCAGUCGCGCCAUGUCACUCUCCGGUGCUCAGGCGUUGCUUUCCAACGAAGGAGUCGAGGACAUCUAUCAGAGCAGCGCCGGCGCGUACGUCCGAGAGAUUACUUUGUCCGUUCGCGAGGCGUUCCGUAGCCGGCUUUCCAACUGGACGUACUUCAACCCAAACGUCACGGUCAUCUCCGACUGGACAUCCCUGGCGGCGGUGUUUCGCUACGUCGCCGCCUCUGCCAACGACACUGCAGUGGUACCACUUGGCCAGCAGCCGGACAUGACGACCGACUCGUUCGUACGUAACGGCAAAAGGUGGCGCAGCUGGGGAGCGACACCGCAGGCUUAGCAACCGCCACGCUUUACUCGGCAAGCAAGCUCCGCUACUACCUAACAUGGCCCGACGGCCGAGACUUCCAGUUCCUGCCCUACGCUUUGUCUUUCCCCAUGUUCGAAGCCGACAUGACGGAUGCCCUCAACUACGGCGGCCUCGGGGCCAUAGUCAGUCGCGCGCUUGGCGGGCUUCUCAUCGACGCUCACGCGGCUGACCCGGAAUCGGCAACGCCGGUCAACGUCCUGCUGGAUUGCCUGCGCGGAGACCCGUUCGCGGACCCGGGGAGCGACGACGCGGGCAUUGCCUUCGGGCCGGAAGCUUUCGGAUUGGGUGCGUUAGUGGAGGCGUACAGGAGUGUGGCCGCGUCUGAUCGGUCACUCGCUGGCCUGGAAGCGUAUACAGCGCAAUGCAGCUGCUCUUCAUCGCCCUAUGCUACAACAAGUGUGAGGGCGUGUCGAAAACAAACGACGAGUCCUUGUGCAACGCGCCGCUGAGACACCUGCCGGCGUUCGCGGAGGCCUUCCGGUGAAACGCGCAUGCGCAAAUGAACUCCUUGCACCGCUGCCAUUUUAUAUGACGCGCUCUCACUUCUAACGCACGUAGCCAACCGUGCUCUGUGUUAGAUGCGCCGAUGAUAUAUGGCCCAAUUGUGUACUUUAGUGCGUGACGGUGUGCCUGUGAUUAUUAUCAAGCAGUGUUCACGGACCUGACUUCUUUGCUUUGUGUCGCGUGUAGGUAUUGAUAGAGAAAAUGACUAGGAAGAUUUAGUACUUACAGCAUCUUGCCUUUCAUCGUGACCUCCGCUAAAGUACAUUCUGUAUCUUUAUUCAGCUCGUCACAUCAAAUGAAUUUAUUCUUUUUUCUAGCACCUAUAUUGUGCAUGUGGCACUUGCUAGAACAACUUGUGUAAAGUGCGCUGUCAUCUCUCGACUAGUUUAACGCUCCUUAAAAUUUUGUGUGUGUACUUUUCUGCAGCGAGUGACUCCAUGCUGAUCAAGAAGAAUCGUGCAAUUUGAGGUUGCUACUGUGUGAAUCGAAAUCAUGUGAAAUAAGGACACGACGUUCGGCUAAUUCACGGUUCUGUUGACGCUGCUACAGGCUGCACCUGGGAACAAUUUAAGUAGAUUUCAAUUACCACGAACGUCUAUUACAAGAAAGGCGAGGCAUUUCUGCGUUUAUCGGUGUGAAUUUCCUGUGAAGUCUUUUUCGUAGCACUUGAGAAGUAGCUGCGCCAAUUUAUUGCCGAACAUGCUUGCUACACAGGCGCGUAAAUGCGUCAUAAACUACGGCUUCGUCACUGCGGCCACAUUUAUUGACGUACUUCCUCAAUGCGUCAAGUGUUGAAGCCUCUCCAAAAAUAAUGUGCCAUGUUCCAGAGAGGAAGAGAGACUUCUAUAUUGUUCCCAGUGGUAGGUAUGGUGAUAAUUAGCUUAACUGAUUUGUUGUUUGCCUUUUUUUUAAGAUGGAGCUGUCUGUGUGCCGCAAGCUUAACCCAGCGGGCUCGAGCUGAUUGAAGAAGAGGUUAUAUUAGCUUUACGCUCGGUCCACCGUUGGGUGUCUCCCGACCGCUAAAACAACGUCGCGUAUUUUAUAAUUGUGGCUAGUAAACCACAGGUUCGCUUACCCUUCCUCCAACAAACUCGGAGACACAUUAACAGGAAUAAAUAUUUGGCAAGAAUGACAAUUUAGAAUAGGGAACUUGAGCUGGCUGAUGAACCGUUUCCCUUUCCCUUUUCUUUCUGGAACACUUUAAGGGGAACACGAGAGAUGCUGACAAGGAGGAUUUCAUGGUCGUAAUCUGUCACUGAGGCUAGAUUUAAUAUUUCCCUUUGU
Molecule: long non-coding RNA, 3201 nt
Organism: Dermacentor albipictus
Lineage: Eukaryota; Metazoa; Arthropoda; Arachnida; Ixodida; Ixodidae
Source: RefSeq, a predicted model, not a curated record